This 465-nucleotide ribosomal RNA is filed under the name uncultured bacterium. RNAcentral's name for it is "partial 16S ribosomal RNA". It matches the Rfam family "Bacterial small subunit ribosomal RNA", at positions 29 to 507 of the family's 1533-position model. The record is from RNAcentral.
AAUGAACGUUGGCGGCGUGGAUUAGGCAUGCAAGUCGAGCGAGAACCCCGCAAGGGGGGACAGCGGCGAAAGGGACAGUAAUGUGUAGAUUAUCUGCCCUCAGAUCCGGGAUAGCUGCGGGAAACUGCAGGUAAUACCGGAUAACAUCUCCGGAUCAAAGGUGUGAUUCCGCCUGAGGAUGAGUCUGCAUCCUAUUAGCUAGUUGGUGGGGUAAUGGCCUACCAAGGCAUUGAUGGGUAGCAGGUGUGAGAGCACGACCUGCGUCAUUGGGACUGAGACACUGCCCAGACACCUACGGGUGGCUGCAGUCGAGAAUCUUCGGCAAUGGGCGCAAGCCUGACCGAGCGACGCCGCGUGUGGGAUGAAGGCCUUCGGGUUGUAAACCACUGUCAGAGGGGAUGAAAUGCGGGUGGGUUCUCCCAUCUGUUUGACAUAGCCUCAGAGGAAGGACGGGCUAAGUUCGUG